Molecule: ribosomal RNA, 650 nt
Filed under: uncultured organism
Description: bacterial SSU rRNA
Rfam family: Bacterial small subunit ribosomal RNA
Source: RNAcentral
GGCUUAAAGUUUGAUCAUGGCUCAGGACGAACGCUGGCGGCGCGCCUAACACAUGCAAGUCGAACGGAGUUGAGAGGAGCUUGCUUUUCUUGACUUAGUGGCGAACGGGUGAGUAACGCGUGAGGAACCUGCCUCAAAGAGGGGGGCAACAGUUGGAAACGACUGCUAAUACCGCAUAAGCCCACGGGGCCGCAUGGCCCUGAGGGAAAAGGAGCAAUCCGCUUUGAGAUGGCCUCGCGUCCGAUUAGCUGGUUGGUGAGGUAACGGCCCACCAAGGCGACGAUCGGUAGCCGGACUGAAAGGUUGAACGGCCACAUUGGGACUGAGACACGGCCCAGACUCCUACGGGAGGCAGCAGUGGGGAAUAUUGCACAAUGGGGGAAACCCUGAUGCAGCGACGCCGCGUGGAGGAAGAAGGUCUUCGGAUUGUAAACUCCUGUUGUUGGGGAAAAGAAGGAUGGUACCCAACAAGGAAGUGACGGCUAACUACGUGCCAGCAGCCGCGGUAAAACGUAGGUCACGAGCGUUGUCCGGAAUUACUGGGUGUAAAGGGAGCGCAGGCGGGUAUGCAAGUUGGGAGUGAAAUACAUGGGCUCAACCCCAUGAACUGCUCUCAAAACUGUGUAUCUUGAGUAGUGCAGAGGUAGGCG